Long non-coding RNA from Humulus lupulus (European hop), 1109 nucleotides. RefSeq lists it as uncharacterized. The transcript has 3 exons. NCBI's taxonomy places the organism in Eukaryota, Viridiplantae, Streptophyta, Magnoliopsida, Rosales, Cannabaceae. The record is from RefSeq and is a predicted model, not a curated record.
GAGGAUCUAUACCACUUACACCUACAAGGCUUCUACACGUUCGACCACGAAAUACUCGCCAUGGCUCGAGAAGGCGAGAGAAUACCAGAGGAGAGGAGAAUACCAUCCCUGGCGCAGACUCAAGCGCUAGUAGUUAGGGAGGUAGCUCCAGCGGCGAAGAGGCCAGUUCAGAGGGGCGCCUCAAUAAAUGGAAGUUAACGCGGGCCCCAUCAAUGCCCCCCAGUGGUUCGAGGCUGAUGGGUUCGAGGUGGAGCACCUCCCUAGCAAGCUGAAACAUCACGGGGCCCUGGAGCGAAUCAUAAGCUACUACGGGAGCAGCAGGUAUCCUUAUGCACCUUUGCCAAGACACAAAGAGGGCACAUCAGAAUGUGAACGACCUUGGUGCCUGGAGCCAAUCACACCUCCAAGCAUAGGUUGUGCUGCCCCUCCGCCAAAAAUCUUGUACGUGUACAAUUUUCAGGCCUACCUAAGGAAAAAGCAAGGCAAUGGGUACUAUACCCUGAUGAAGUACAUAAUCCGAACAUGGUGUACAAGGCUCCUUGUAACAACGAGAGCCAUGCAAGGGACUACAAUGACAAUUUUUUCUUCAAAAAUGGCUUCCCGACGCGGACCAACCCAACCUUUAUCCUCGAGUUCUCUAGGGUUGGUCCCUAUCGUCGAACAUCCUAUGUUCAAGUGUAUGACAAUCACUUGCAAGAGAUGAAGAGCUUCCCUAAUGUGGAGCUGGAGUUGAGUCACCUGGUGAUGGAUGAUAACCUACUUGUCGUUGGACUUCUUUGAGAGGGACAACAUAUUGGCAAUGUCGACCUAACCCAGUACCGGAACUCCACUCAGUCCCGGGAGGAGGAAUCUCACCACAUCAAUUACAUUGAUGGACUUGCCCACAUCUAGCAUAACUAGAAGAUAUUAAAGAAGCGUUUCAAAAAUGCAAAAGUAGCCUGAGCAGCUACAAAAUCCUGGGAGAACCAAGACCUUGAGGAGGAGCUCUAGGCAGAGAUAGAGUCUUCAUCCAUUGAUCAAGGUAAGGGCAAUGACUGAGUCAACCAACCAUGAGUACGGAGAGCGUGAAGCGACGUGUACAUGUUUGGCCUGCCCGACUGCUUUGGUUG